RNAcentral lists this ribosomal RNA (501 nucleotides) under uncultured bacterium. RNAcentral's name for it is "bacterial SSU rRNA". It matches the Rfam family "Bacterial small subunit ribosomal RNA", at positions 28 to 523 of the family's 1533-position model. The record is from RNAcentral.
GAUGAACGCUAGCGGGAGGCUUAACACAUGCAAGUCGCGGGGCAGCACGAGGUAGCAAUACUUUGGUGGCGACCGGCGCACGGGUGAGUAACGCGUAUGCAACCUGCCCAGUACAGGGGGAUAGCCCGCAGAAAUUCGGAUUAAUACCCCAUAAUGAUAAGAGAUGGCAUCAUUUUUUAUUAAAGUUACGGCGGUACUGGAUGGGCAUGCGUGACAUUAGCUAGUUGGUAGGGUAACGGCCUACCAAGGCAUCGAUGUCUAGGGGUCCUGAGAGGGUGAUCCCCCACACUGGUACUGAGACCCGGACCAGACUCCUACGGGAGGCAGCAGUAGGGAAUAUUGGGCAAUGGACGCAAGUCUGACCCAGCCAUGCCGCGUGCAGGAUGAAGGCCCUAUGGGUUGUAAACUGCUUUUUCUACGGGAAGAAACUCCCGACGUGUCGGGGACCGACGGUAUCGUAGGAAUAAGGAUCGGUUAACUCCGUGCCAGCAGCCGCGGUAA